AUNAGACCGCAUGGUCUUAUUAUUAAAGAAUUUCGGUUAUCGAUGGGGAUGCGUUCCAUUAGGCAGUUGGUGAGGUAACGGCUCACCAAACCUUCGAUGGAUAGGGGUUCUGAGAGGAAGGUCCCCCACAUUGGAACUGAGACACGGUCCAAACUCCUACGGGAGGCAGCAGUGAGGAAUAUUGGUCAAUGGGCGCAGGCCUGAACCAGCCAAGUAGCGUGAAGGAUGACUGCCCUAUGGGUUGUAAACUUCUUUUAUAUGGGAAUAAAGUUUUCCACGUGUGGAAUUUUGUAUGUACCAUAUGAAUAAGGAUCGGCUAACUCCGUGCCAGCAGCCGCGGUAAUACGGAGGAUCCGAGCGUUAUCCGGAUUUAUUGGGUUUAAAGGGAGCGUAGGUGGACAGUUAAGUCAGUUGUGAAAGUUUGCGGCUCAACCGUAAAAUUGCAGUUGAUACUGGCUGUCUUGAGUACAGUAGAGGUGGGCGGAAUUCGUGGUGUAGCGGUGAAAUGCUUAGAUAUCACGAAGAACUCCGAUUGCGAAGGCAGCUCACUGGACUGCGAACUGACACUGAUGCUCGAAAGUGUGGGUAUCAAACUAGGAUUAGAUACCCUGGUAGUCCACACWNGUAAACGAUGAAUACUCGCUGUUUGCGAUAUACAGUAAGCGGCCAAGCGAAAGCAUUAAGUAUUCCACCUGGGGAGUACGCCGGCAACGGUGAAACUCAAAGGAAUUGACGGGGGCCCGCACAAGCGGAGGAACAUGUGGUUUAAUUCGAUGAUACGCGAGGAACCUUACCCGGGCUUAAAUUGCAUUUGAAUAUAUUGGAAACAGUAUAGCCGUAAGGCAAAUGUGAAGGUGCUGCAUGGUUGUCGUCAGCUCGUGCCGUGAGGUGUCGGCUUAAGUGCCAUAACGAGCGCAACCCUUAUCUUUAGUUACUAACAGGUCAUGCUGAGGACUCUAGAGAGACUGCCGUCGUAAGAUGUGAGGAAGGUGGGGAUGACGUCAAAUCAGCACGGCCCUUACGUCCGGGGCUACACACGUGUUACAAUGGGGGGUACAGAAGGCAGCUACCUGGUGACAGGAUGCUAAUCCCAAAAGCC
RNAcentral lists this ribosomal RNA (1099 nucleotides) under Bacteroides thetaiotaomicron. RNAcentral's name for it is "bacterial SSU rRNA". The record is from RNAcentral. Lineage: Bacteria; Pseudomonadati; Bacteroidota; Bacteroidia; Bacteroidales; Bacteroidaceae.